RNAcentral lists this ribosomal RNA (450 nucleotides) under uncultured bacterium. RNAcentral describes it as "partial 16S ribosomal RNA". It matches the Rfam family "Bacterial small subunit ribosomal RNA", at positions 354 to 796 of the family's 1533-position model. The record is from RNAcentral.
GCUAAGAAUAUUCCGCAAUGGACGAAAGUCUGACGGAGCGACGCCGCGUGGAUGAAGAAGGCCGAAAGGUUGUAAAAUCCUUUUGCUGAUGAAGAAUAAGUGGUGUAGGGAAUGACAUCAUGAUGACAUUAGUCGGUGAAUAAGCCCCGGCUAACUACGUGCCAGCAGCCGCGGUAACACGUAGGGGGCAAGCGUUGUUCGGAAUUAUUGGGCGUAAAGGGCAUGUAGGCGGUUUGGUAAGCCUGGUGUGAAAUCCUGCAGCUUAACUGUAGAAUUGCAUUGGGUAAUGCCAGACUUGAAUCACAGAGGAGAAACUAGAAUUCCAGGUGUAGGGGUGGAAUCUGUAGAUAUCUGGAAGAAUACCGGUGGCGAAGGCGGGUUUCUAGCUGAUGAUUGACGCUGAGGUGCGAAAGUGCGGGGAGCAAACAGGAUUAGAAACCCUAGUAGUCC